AAGAUUAAGAUUGCUGCCGACCAAGCUAAGUGUCAAUGGUUAACGCUACGUAGCAAUUGAAACACAGUCUAGCUCUGUCGCACCAUUGCAGAAGAGCGAUAAGGAGAGCUUCAAAGCGAGCUUGGUUGGAUAACGGCCGGCAGCAGUAGGGCUAGCAAUCACCGGAUCGCCAAGCCGUCCACAAAAUGACGGCGUCAGACCGCCCCACAUGGAUGGGGCGCGCCCCGACACAGCCCCCACAGCGCCCAGCGCGGAAGGGGCCACUCACACCCCAGCAGGGGUGUCGAAUGAAGACGCACCACCACCACCAGGAGCUCAUUCUGUCCUCUGCGAAAUAACUUCUGACAUUCUGCCUGACACUCUGUCCGUCAGUUACUAGUAGUAAUUAUAAUUAACCAGUUGUAACUAAGUAAUAAAGUUAGUAUCUGCAA
Molecule: long non-coding RNA, 431 nt
Organism: Leguminivora glycinivorella
Lineage: Eukaryota; Metazoa; Arthropoda; Insecta; Lepidoptera; Tortricidae
Exons: 2
Source: RefSeq, a predicted model, not a curated record